RNAcentral lists this ribosomal RNA (189 nucleotides) under uncultured bacterium. RNAcentral describes it as "partial 16S ribosomal RNA". It matches the Rfam family "Bacterial small subunit ribosomal RNA", at positions 284 to 479 of the family's 1533-position model. The record is from RNAcentral.
CGCCCGCCGCGCGCGGCGGGCGGGGCGGGGGCACGGGGGGCCUACGGGAGGCAGCAGUGGGGAAUUUUGGACAAUGGGGGUAACCCUGAUCCAGCCAUUCCGCGUGUGCGAUGAAGGCCUUCGGGUUGAAAAGUACUUUUGGCAGGGAAGAAAAGGCGCUGGAUAAUACCUUGCGUCACUGACGGUACC